Molecule: ribosomal RNA, 253 nt
Filed under: uncultured bacterium
Lineage: Bacteria
Description: partial 16S ribosomal RNA
Rfam family: Bacterial small subunit ribosomal RNA
Source: RNAcentral
UACGAAGGGGGCUAGCGUUGUUCGGAAUUACUGGGCGUAAAGGGCGCGUAGGCGGCGUGUCAAGUCAGGCGUGUAAGCCCCGGGCUCAACCUGGGAACCGCGCUUGAGACUGGCAUGCUCGAGUUCGGGAGAGGAUGGUGGAAUUCCCAGUGUAGAGGUGAAAUUCGUAGAUAUUGGGAAGAACACCGAUGGCGAAGGCAGCCAUCUGGACCGACACCGACGCUGAGGCGCGAAAGCGUGGGGAGCAAACAGG